This 253-nucleotide ribosomal RNA is filed under the name uncultured bacterium. RNAcentral describes it as "partial 16S ribosomal RNA". It matches the Rfam family "Bacterial small subunit ribosomal RNA", at positions 524 to 776 of the family's 1533-position model. The record is from RNAcentral.
GACAGAGGGUGCAAGCGUUGUUCGGAAUCAUUGGGCGUAAAGGGCGCGUAGGCGGCUUGGUAAGUUGGAUGUGAAAGCCCCGGGCUCAACCCGGGAAGUGCAUCCAAUACUGCUUUGCUUGAGUCCUGGAGAGGGUGGUGGAAUUCCCAGUGUAGAGGUGAAAUUCGUAGAUAUUGGGAGGAACACCCGUGGCGAAGGCGGCCACCUGGACAGAGACUGACGCUGAGGCGCGAAAGCUAGGGGAGCAAACAGG